This 253-nucleotide ribosomal RNA is filed under the name uncultured bacterium. Its description in RNAcentral is "partial 16S ribosomal RNA". It matches the Rfam family "Bacterial small subunit ribosomal RNA", at positions 524 to 776 of the family's 1533-position model. The record is from RNAcentral.
UACGUAGGGAGCAAGCGUUGUUCGGAUUUACUGGGCGUAAAGGGCGCGUAGGCGGCAAUUCAAGUCAGCUGUGAAAUCUCCGGGCUUAACUCGGAAAGGUCAACUGAUACUGUGCGGCUAGAGUGCAGAAGGGGCAACUGGAAUUCUCGGUGUAGCGGUGAAAUGCGUAGAUAUCGAGAGGAACACCUGCGGCGAAGGCGGGUUGCUGGGCUGACACUGACGCUCAUGCACGAAAGCGUGGGGAGCAAACAGG